AUUUAUGAGUAAUUACUUCUAAACUCGAGCGUAUGAUUAUUUUAGUUCGUAUUAUGUGAUGAGGCCGUUAGCAACUGUUGCCAAGAAGGUAACAACGCCGCCAUUACGAAAGUUGGUUGGGUCUGUCAACAAACCGACAUUGAAGCAUUUACUGAUAACAGCCAUAUCAUACAUCCUUACUUGGUUGCUAUGUUCACCAGUGCAGAGUUUGGGCCUUGUUGCCAUAGCAACUCAGAGCUUCAUGCCAGACAUGCAGGCCCUCAACCUAAGCAGGAUACAACAGAACUCACCUGCUUCUCAACAACAGUCAACACAGGGUGCAACUAGUAUAGUACAAUCUAGUCAACAAUCUCAGCAGAAUCAAUGUGUUUAAAUCAUGCUUUACUAUAUCAAGUGUCCUGUUAUGAAGAUGUCUAUCAUCAUAAUUUGAAAUGGAAAUAAUGAUUUCUCGGACUCAAACACAAGUAUCCUCUAGCCAGUCUGCGUCUGUUCAGACCGUAGUUUCAGUAGCCCAGAGCCAGCAACAGUUACAGGCAUCUCAAGGAUCCUCAACACCUUCCACAGUUGCAGUAACUCAAGUUUCUGUGCCUGUUGUGCAUUCUCCUUCUCAACAACAACAAUCACAGAGCCAGCAACAAAGUGGGACUGUAGUUUCGACCCCAGGCACUCCUCAGUUUAUUGCAGUUGCAGGUCUGUUUUCAUUAUAAAACAAUUUUAAAAUAUUUUCUCUUAAUUAUUUAUGAUACAUUUUUAUGAGUUGCAUCUACUUUCAUAAUAUUUGAUUUGAUAUAUGAAGUUUAACAAAAUACUAUAUUUUGCUUUUUGAU
Molecule: long non-coding RNA, 827 nt
Filed under: Androctonus crassicauda
Lineage: Eukaryota; Metazoa; Arthropoda; Arachnida; Scorpiones; Buthidae
Source: RNAcentral